This 337-nucleotide unclassified non-coding RNA is filed under the name soil metagenome. Its description in RNAcentral is "partial contains 5.8S ribosomal RNA, internal transcribed spacer 2, and large subunit ribosomal RNA". The stretch from base 1 to 121 matches the Rfam family "5.8S ribosomal RNA", at positions 35 to 154 of the family's 154-position model. The record is from RNAcentral.
GAUGAAGAACGUAGCGAAAUGCGAUAAGUAAUGCGAAUUGCAGAAUUCCAGUGAAUCAUCGAAUCUUUGAACGCACAUUGCGCCCGCCAGUAUUCUGGCGGGCAUGCCUGUUCGAGCGUCAUUUCAACCAUCAAGCCCCAGGCUUGUGUUGGGGACCUGCGGCUGCCGCAGGCCCUGAAAACCAGUGGCGGGCUCGCUGUCACACCGGGCGUAGUAGAUUUUAUCUCGCUCAGGGCGUGCUGCGGGUUCCGGCCGUUAAAAAGCCUUUUUUACCCAAGGUUGACCUCGGAUCAGGUAGGAAUACCCGCUGAACUUAAGCAUAUCAAUAAGCGGAGGA